GGUAUUGUGAACAUUCUCAUAGUUUUCUUUUGCUGUCAAAGAGAACUAAAUACAGUCCAUCUCUUUGUGGGUUCUUUAUAUUGGCUAAAUCCAUUCCCCUAUUGUCUAUGUAGCUUACUGCUGUUUCUCUCCACACUCAUAUCUUGUCUAUGUAGCUUACUGCUGUUUCUCUCCACACUCAUAUCUUGUCUAUGUAGCUUACUGCUGUUUCUCUCCACACUCAUAUCUUGUCUAUGUAGCUUACUGCUGUUUCUCUCCACACUCAUAUCUUGUCUAUGUAGCUUACUGCUGUUUCUCUCCACACUCAUAUCUUGUCUAUGUAGCUUACUGCUGUUUCUCUCCACACUCAUAUCUUGUCUAUGUAGCUUACUGCUGUUUCUCUCCACACUCAUAUCUUGUCUAUGUAGCUUACUGCUGUUUCUCUCCACACUCAUAUCUUGUCUAUGUAGCUUACUGCUGUUUCUCUCCACACUCAUAUCUUGUCUAUGUAGCUUACUGCUGUUUCUCUCCACACUCAUAUCUUGUCUAUGUAGCUUACUGCUGUUUCUCUCCACACUCAUAUCUUGUCUAUGUAGCUUACUGCUGUUUCUCUCCACACUCAUAUCUUGUCUAUGUAGCUUACUGCUGUUUCUCUCCACACUCAUAUCUUGUCUAUGUAGCUUACUGCUGUUUCUCUCCACACUCAUAUCUUGUCUAUGUAGCUUACUGCUGUUUCUCUCCACACUCAUAUCUUGUCUAUGUAGCUUACUGCUGUUUCUCUCCACACUCAUAUCUUGUCUAUGUAGCUUACUGCUGUUUCUCUCCACACUCAUAUCUUGUCUAUGUAGCUUACUGCUGUUUCUCUCCACACUCAUAUCUUGUCUAUGUAGCUUACUGCUGUUUCUCUCCACACUCAUAUCUUGUCUAUGUAGCUUACUGCUGUUUCUCUCCACACUCAUAUCUUGUCUAUGUAGCUUACUGCUGUUUCUCUCCACACUCAUAUCUUGUCUAUGUAGCUUACUGCUGUUUCUCUCCACACUCAUAUCUUGUCUAUGUAGCUUACUGCUGUUUCUCUCCACACUCAUAUCUUGUCUAUGUAGCUUACUGCUGUUUCUCUCCACACUCAUAUCUUGUCUAUGUAGCUUACUGCUGUUUCUCUCCACACUCAUAUCUUGUCUAUGUAGCUUACUGCUGUUUCUCUCCACACUCAUAUCUUGUCUAUGUAGCUUACUGCUGUUUCUCUCCACACUCAUAUCUUGUCUAUGUAGCUUACUGCUGUUUCUCUCCACACUCAUAUCUUGUCUAUGUAGCUUACUGCUGUUUCUCUCCACACUCAUAUCUUGUCUAUGUAGCUUACUGCUGUUUCUCUCCACACUCAUAUCUUGUCUAUGUAGCUUACUGCUGUUUCUCUCCACACUCAUAUCUUGUCUAUGUAGCUUACUGCUGUUUCUCUCCACACUCAUAUCUUGUCUAUGUAGCUUACUGCUGUUUCUCUCCACACUCAUAUCUUGUCUAUGUAGCUUACUGCUGUUUCUCUCCACACUCAUAUCUUGUCUAUGUAGCUUACUGCUGUUUCUCUCCACACUCAUAUCUUGUCUAUGUAGCUUACUGCUGUUUCUCUCCACACUCAUAUCUUGUCUAUGUAGCUUACUGCUGUUUCUCUCCACACUCAUAUCUUGUCUAUGUAGCUUACUGCUGUUUCUCUCCACACUCAUAUCUUCAACACAGAGUUUGAUUCCUUUGAUCAUGGGGCUGUAUUUUUGUAUAAUUAUGUAA
Molecule: long non-coding RNA, 1755 nt
Filed under: Oncorhynchus kisutch (coho salmon)
Lineage: Eukaryota; Metazoa; Chordata; Actinopteri; Salmoniformes; Salmonidae
Description: lncRNA (ENSOKIG00005038791.1)
Source: RNAcentral